This 118-nucleotide microRNA precursor is filed under the name Cricetulus griseus (Chinese hamster). Its description in RNAcentral is "miRNA (ENSCGRG00000021559.1)". Lineage: Eukaryota; Metazoa; Chordata; Mammalia; Rodentia; Cricetidae. The record is from RNAcentral.
GUUUCUCUGUGUAUACUUGGCUGUCCUGGAACUCCCUCUGUAGACCAGGUUGGCCUUAAACUCAGAGAUUCGCCUGCCUCUGCCUCCUGAGUACUGGGAUUAAAGGUGUACGCCACCA